This 499-nucleotide ribosomal RNA is filed under the name uncultured Glomeromycotina. RNAcentral's name for it is "partial small subunit ribosomal RNA". It matches the Rfam family "Eukaryotic small subunit ribosomal RNA", at positions 591 to 1092 of the family's 1831-position model. Lineage: Eukaryota; Fungi; Glomeromycota. The record is from RNAcentral.
CCAAUAGCGUAUAUUAAAGUUGUUGCAGUUAAAAAGCUCGUAGUUGAAUUUCGGGAUCAAUAUGUCGGUCGUGCCUCGGUACGUACUGGCGUAAUUGGUUUCUCCCUUCUGAAGAACCUCGAUGUCAUUAAUUUGGUGUCGUGGGGAAUCAGGACUGUUACUUUGAAAAAAUUAGAGUGUUUAAAGCAGGCUCGCGCUUGAAUACAUUAGCAUGGAAUAAUGAAAUAGGACGUUUGAUUCUAUUUUGUUGGUUUCUAGGAUCGACGUAAUGAUUAAUAGGGAUAGUUGGGGGCAUUAGUAUUCAAUUGUCAGAGGUGAAAUUCUUGGAUUUAUUGAAGACUAACUACUGCGAAAGCAUUUGCCAAGGAUGUUUUCAUUAAUCAAGAACGAAAGUUAGGGGAUCGAAGACGAUCAGAUACCGUCGUAGUCUUAACCAUAAACUAUGCCGACUGGGGAUCGGAUGAUGUUAAUUUUUUAAUGACUCAUUCGGCGCCUUACG